GAUUGUUAGUCCAAAGGAUUUCCCAGUUGAUUUUUGGGACCAGAAAUCAAAUUCAAAUAUUUUUCAACAAUCAUCUCCGGUGAGUAAUCAGUGAAAUAGCCAUUCUCAACUUCUAACCCAAAUUGAGCCGCAAGAAUCUCCACGUGUCUCUGGACCCGAUCUGCUCCAAUCUGAUUAGGCUCCAACAGAACACAAGCUAUCUCCGUCGUAUCAUCAUCGUGAAGAAGCCCUAUGGUUUGCACCGUCGGCAACCCACCUCCUCUGCCACUCACCAUCCGCGCUAUUCUCCGAGUGGCCGACACGUCCGUCGACAAUAUCGGAAUAUUGUACAUCGCCGUCCACGGACGCGCACCGAUCAUCGUGAUUCCUCUCGCUCGAGAUACUGUAUUUGGUCCUUCAUCAGGGUUCUCCGGCAAAAUUUCCGGCAUGGACCACCCGGCCCAUUGGUUCCCCUUGUAGUUGGGCCGGAAAUACCCAAGCUCACGCCUCAAAUCAUCCGGCGCUUUCCCACUUGGGUGAGCCGCAGAGUAGAGAAAUACAGGCACUUGAAACAUGGCGGCAAUGUCUUUAGCGACGGCCUUAGCUAGCCACGCGGCUUCGUGGAGGGAGGCCCGAGCGAGUGGAUGAAAAACGAUGUCGUCUACGACUCCUAGGCGCGGGUGAGUACCAGAAUGGGUCUCGAGGUUGAUGUUAGAGAAAGCAACCUGGGUCAUGGCUAGCACGGUUUGAAGCAAUGGGCUGUAAAUGGCGU
RNAcentral lists this unclassified non-coding RNA (751 nucleotides) under Hevea brasiliensis (rubber tree). Lineage: Eukaryota; Viridiplantae; Streptophyta; Magnoliopsida; Malpighiales; Euphorbiaceae. The record is from RNAcentral.